UUCAGUCGGACACUUACCUGUGCACAGCAUUUUCGGUGCCAACUAGUCAAGAUGCCUAUAUUGUGGACUUCAGACCUCAUGCCAGUAUGGACACAGUUCAUCACAUGCUUCUGUUUGGCUGCCUGACUCCCGUGUCCACCAGCAGUUACUGGGACUGUGGAAGUGUACAAGGCACCUGUGAGGAUGAGGCAUCCAUUAUGUACGCCUGGGCGCGGAAUGCACCACCUACUAAAUUACCCAAAGGUAUGUUU
Notothenia coriiceps (black rockcod) is the source of this 251-nucleotide long non-coding RNA. RefSeq lists it as uncharacterized. The record is from RefSeq and is a predicted model, not a curated record. The transcript has 3 exons. Lineage: Eukaryota; Metazoa; Chordata; Actinopteri; Perciformes; Nototheniidae.